Long non-coding RNA from Neofelis nebulosa (Clouded leopard), 8062 nucleotides. RefSeq lists it as uncharacterized. NCBI's taxonomy places the organism in Eukaryota, Metazoa, Chordata, Mammalia, Carnivora, Felidae. The transcript is spliced from 3 exons. The record is from RefSeq and is a predicted model, not a curated record.
GUGAGGAUAAAGAGCGAGCAUUGUUUACAUUUUUCCAGCACUAUUUAAACUUAUUGUACUUAAAAAAAAGAUUAAAUCAUUAGGCUGUUGGGGUGUGGAUGGGGAGGUGUGAGAAAACUCAGCUCCAAAAACACCGCCCCCCCCCCACCCCCCGUCUUUCUUACUUAUAUAAAACUUUGUUCUCAAGGCUUCUUCGGGGCCAAAGAACAAGCACACAAAAUCAGGUCGUAACCAUCCUGCUCUCUGCCCCUCGCUCAGCUGGACCCUGGGUGGAGCCCCAGGACAAAGGUCUGGGGAGCACCCACAACCAGAGCCAGCACACCCAGGAGGGGGGCCCACGUGCCCCAGCUCGGGCUCCCAAGUGGAGACAAGCAAUUGGAGGGAGUGGCCAGACUCCUCCCACCCCAACAUAGUGUCCGUGCUCGGAGAGGGGAGCCCCCAGUUCCCUCCUCUUUGAAAUGGGGCCGCUGGGAGAACCCGCCGGGACACCCGUGGGCCCGGUGGGAGGGAGGACCGGGUUGGGCCAGGCGCUCCGGCAGUGCGGGCUGAACCCAGUCUGUGAAGAUGGGCCUGGGGUGUGGGGAAGCUUUUGCAGGUCAAAAAGCAUGUGUUUGGAGAAACCCUUGCUCUGUUCUUGGCUUGGGAGCCUCAUGCCUUCUGCCUUCUGUGAAUCACUUCUUCUUACAGCAUUGCUGUUUUCCCCACCUCGGGUUGAAGUCAUGUGAACCCCCCGUGCCAGCUUCUGCCUCCUCUUGGGCUGGCCGCCAACAGCCGCCUGCCCGUCCGUGCUGUUUUGAGGCAGUGUAAGGGACAGACACAGAGGCCGAGGGUCCCCCUCCGGGGACAAGGCCCUGCCCUGGACUUGCCAGGUUUCAGGCAUCUGGCGUGAGGCGGUGGAAAGAGCUCUUGACUGGUGUCGGGAGCCCCGGAUGCUUCACGGACCUGCCGCGAAACUGCCUGUGCCAACCCCGGAUUCACCUACCGCCCUGAGAAAUGGGACAUCUGGCCUGAAUGUCACAAAGGGCCUUCUCGGCUUUGGGGUCCUAAGGGAAGGGCUGGAGCUGAGCUCUCUCCUGCCAGGCCCUCCCUCGUGGGCUCCCCCACAUCCGGCCCUGCUCCCCGACAGGGUUCGAGGCACCGGCAGCUACUGGUUAACGCAGACCAGAUGCAACCCUUUCCCGGGACAUGCUCGGCGGCCUUCCUCCGCGGAGGCCUUGGGGAUAUUUGAAACGCCAUGGAGUUUGGCUUUGGAGCCCAGAGUGGAAACCACAGCUCCAUUACGCGAGCACAUCUGAUCUCCCUGGGAGGAGAGAGGCGACUGGCCUCAGAGAAAGAGAGACAAGUUGGAGGCCGCUGGCUCUCUGGGGAACAGUUUUGCUUCCCUGCUUAUAGGAUGGGGUCUGGGAGCCCCAGGGAGGGCAAGUCCGCCAUGCUGAUCUUGGAGAUGCUGGGUUCCCUAAUCCCUGUGGAUGGCGGCAAAGGCCAGGGGCCUCUAGAGACGAACUUGAGUCCCCUAUGAGGACUGGACAUCCACCCAGAAACCAUUCUGCCUCGUGCCACCCCCGCCGUGAGAGCGCAUAUAUUGAAAGCUUCAUGUUUGCCAGACCCCUCGUCAAAGAAGAAAAAUUCCAUGGAGAGAGAAUGGCCGCCUCUCCCUCCUCCUCCCUGGGACGGACCAAGCAACUGGAUUUGCACAAACAAGUGGGAAAUGAUUCCAAAGUCACUGCCUGUUAAGACACCCCAGCUUCGAUCACUGCCUAGUUGGGUCACUUUGGGCCAAUAUCUUACUAUCUCCAGCCCCAGAUUCCCAUUUGCCCUGUGGAUAUAAUAAGCCUCACCUUGGAGAUGGGGGCUAUAGGAUGUGCAUAAAGGAGCCUCACAGAGGCUCAGUGGAGGUGAGUCACUGUUACUCCCAAAUGACCUGGAUUAAUCCUCCUCUCCUGUUUCUAAAUAUUCCAAGACCAUCGUCACUGCCCAUCAGCACUGUGGUUGGCAGAAGUAACAGAGACACCCCCAGGGGUGGCUGCGGUCGGAGCCGAGGUGGCCAGUCAGCUGGGCUUCAUGAGGGUAGCAUCUCCGGGCUGGAGUGCUGGGGCAGGCACUUUGAAACUGCCCACACGCGGCCCCAUCGUGACUCUUAAGGGCAGGACCCGGGGCUGAGACCAUCUCUGUCAGCCCUUCCAGCCUGAGGCUCUUUCUCCCCAGGAGUGAAGGUUCAGGCAGGGCAGUGGAUCCUCGAGCUUCUGCUCAGUGCCCACUCACCUGGGUGCUCUGGGCUGCUUCCUUGGCCAUUUCUGCGGGGCGCGGGACUGAAUUGCUUGGUCACUCAGCAAGUGAAACGGGGACAGCAGCCAGCCAUGUUAGCUCCCUGGUGUGUGUGGGGGGGGACGAUGUUAUGAGGGUAGGGAGAGUGGUCAGUGGUUUAGUCAUAUGAUCCUUCCUACUGUCGUGGGGAGAGACCUCAGGCUCAGGGCAUCAAUCAGGGGUGGGGGUCUAAGAGUGUGGGUGCAGCAGUUUCCCUGUAAACUUAAGAUUUGUGGAAGGAAAGAGAUUGCGCUUGGUAACAGACCUUGAAAUCGGCAUAAUGAAGCCUUUUCUAGUCUUGCCAAACCCUCCAAUGUGUCUCCAUCCAUGCCCCCCACCCUCCCUCUCAUUCAUUCACGCAUUCGUGCAGCCACUCACUCCAUGAAUACUCCACGAGCACCCUCUUUGUUUCUGGCGCUGGGGAUACCACUCUGAGUAUAAUGCCUGCCCUCAUGGAGCUUUUGGUCUAGGUGGGGAGAAAGACCUUAAACAAUGAGUCGUACACAUCGGUACAAAAUUCACACUUAACAGGUGCCGGGAAGGAAAAGAGCGGGGUGUCGGGAGAGCACCUAACAAGGGCCCCCUCCUCCCAAAGGUCAGUCCUUGCUGUGUGUCUGGCAGUGACCUAAGUCCUUGAUGUGGACUCGCUGGAUCCUUGCCACGUCCCCGUGUGUCACUGUCAUCACCAUCCUACGGGUGAGGAAACCGGAACCGGACGGACCCAAGAUCUCAGUCGUUGAUCCUAAUUCUGUGCCGUGGGAGGGCAGCCCUCCCUCUUCCCUUUUUCACAACUGAAGAAACCAAGACUUUAGCUGAAGUCAAAUGUUUUUCUCAAGGUCACAGAGCUGGAAUGGCUGAGUUCCCUGGCUCAUCUCCUCCAACCAACUUGGGACAGAAUUUUUCCCCCAGUGGAGAUAAAUCAGCCACUUACAACUGGAAGCUCAAUUGUAUUUAUGGCCUCACAAUUUUUCACCCCUCCCUGUAUUCACAUGCUUUGCUCAGUAAAUCUGCAGUGCUCUCUUACCCGGGGUAGAAUGUUCUGCAGGCCCUGGCUCUGGGCUCAGUCCUGUGAUUUGCUGUGGCUGAUGGGAUAUUAGCAGACUUGUUGCAAGCCGAGGCUCCACAAAGCACUUGCGCAUUUCCCCUCUUGCGUUUCUUCUCUGCCACUGUCACGAGAACGUGCCGACUGGCUUGCUGAAUGAGUAGGCCUGUGGCCCUGAACCAAGGUACCCCUGGCAUCCCAGCCCAGGCUAUUGUAGGUCAGACCUCCACGUGAGAGGCCCCAGCCAAGAUCGGCUGGACCGCACACACUCCUGAGCUAAACGAAUGUUUGCCCCUGGGGUCUGGCUCAUUUGUUACGCAGCAUGAUGGCAAUUGUUGACGGAUACUGAUCUGUAUGAAGCCAAUGUGACUGUAGAUUGCAGAUGAUGAGCAAAGCUGGAGGUCGCUACACAGCAGGGGAGGAAGGAAGAAUUCUGAGCUGAGAGGUCAGGGAACGAGCCAUCGAACAGUGACACGGAGCUGAAUCUUGAAGGAGGAAAAAACAGGUGUCCCAGCAGAUGACACAGACACAGGCAUGGAGGCGUGCACUUGCACUUGUCCAAGGAACGGCAAGUCACCCAGUAGGGCUGCUACAUGGAGGCAAUGUGGGAGUGAGACUGGACUACCUGAAAGGCAGCUGCCACCGAUUUCUCCUUGCCUGAGCGUCUAUGGUGCUCCUCCCAGAAAGAGGAGGGCCUGUGUCCCCUCCCCUUGAAUCUCGACUGGCCUUGUGACUUUCUUUGAUGAACAGAAAGGGCAGAAGUGACUCUGUGCCCGUUCCAGGCCUAGCCUUAAAUGGCCUGGGGCCCUCUGUGUUCCCUCUCUCUUUUGGAAGUCGGCCGCCGUGGAGAGAAACUCGGGCCGACAAGACAGGGAUGUGGAACCAUGCAUGCGGAAGGUAAGGUCACAUGGAGGAGAGCUGAGAAACCCCAGCACAGGUGUGUGGAGGAGGCUUCUUGGACAUUCUGGGCCAGCUGAGCCCCUGGCUGGACACAGCCGCGCCGAUCCCACGUGGAGCCCGGGAUCUGCCCAGCUGACCUGCAGAGCUCUGAGCGGGGAGUAACCCAGUGUGAUUUCAAGCACUGAGUGUGGGGUGUUUUGUUACCCAGCAGAGAUCACUGAGACAGGUGGCCUGGCAGAUGCUAGUUUCUGGGAGUCUCUGGGACGUCUAACCUCCGCGAGAGCCCUGAGCUCUGUUCGCAGACAACUGGAGCGGGCUUUUCUCCUGUUUCCUUCCUGCUAGGGAGGGUGAGGGGAGUUGUGCGGUUUCCCCACAUCCCAUUUUGAAGGCGCUCCUAUGACAAGCUAAUGGAACUCCUAGAUAAGAAUGACAAGCUAUGAGCUUGGACUCCGGGGUCAGAUUCCCGGGAUUUAAGUCCCAGCUCUGCCAAUUUCUAGCUGUGCGACUGACCUUGGGCAAUCUACAUAACCGCUCUGUGCCUCAGUUUCUUUAUCUGUAAAAUGAGGUAUUAGAUUCCUAUGUGGAUUAAAUAAGGUAAUAUAUCCAAGCUCUUAAAAUAGUGCCUGACUCAUCAUAAGCCCUCGAUAGAUAUCAUCCACUGUUUUAUUGCUACUAUUGAGGCUGCUGCUACUAGUAAUAGGAGGAGGAGGUUCCAGGGCUUCUGAGCUGGAUAUUUCAGUGUUCUUGACCUGAAGGAGCCCAAAGUCUCACCGACUCCAAGUAGAGCUGACCCCUGAACAGGUAAGUUACAAUACAAAGGGGUGGAAAUAAAAACAAGAGAAUGAUCGAGUCUGGGAGUGGUUUAUUGUACCUGGGAAUUAAGAAGACUUCCUAAGGGAGGUGACUAUUGAGCUGGGUUUAGACGACCGAACCAGUUUGCUGGCUUUAUCAGUUCAGUUUAUGUUUGGCUCUGAGUCAAAGCGACCACCACUGCCAAACAAAAACGGAAACACAAAAAUAACAGUAGCUUCAACAAGACAGAAGUUUCUGUCUGACUCCAGUAGAAAUCUGGUGGCGGAAGGCCCAGGGCCCCUAGGGUGUCCAUUGCUCUCCUCCUGGUGCAAGGUGGCUGCAAGAGCUCCGGCAGUCGGGCUCUUUAAGAACAUUCCUGGAUUUUGUACACCGCAUUUACAAGCUGUUGGCAAGGCUUCAUCCCACGGCCAACCUAAUUGCAAGGGAGACUGAGAACAUAUUCUUUAUCCUGGGUGGCCUGUGGCCAGCUGGCUAAGAACUGGGUACCCCGUUACUGAGGAGGACUUGGGGAGCAGACACUGGAGGUCUAGGUUCCCACUAGAAAGAAUGGCACAUGCAAAGGCCUGUGUACUUGGAGCACACGGCCGGUUCUGCCUUCACAGGGCCUUCAAGGAUCCUCACUCCUUCUCUGCUGAGACGCUCACUGGUUCAUCACAGGCCGGCCUGUGGACUUGCACUUAGAUCAGCAUCCUGCCAGCCAGGCACACCCACUCCCCGCUCUCCUGUUGCUCUGGAAGAUCCCUCCCACCCAGUGCAUCAUGGGAGACACCGAGAUGCCCUUAAGGAGCUUGCGUUCACUGAGGAGACAGAGCUGCUGAGUGGAGGGGCCGCAGAGAGAAGGGCCAGAGCCCCCAUCAGACCUCUGACCUAGGCCUGGACAGCCAGACUAAGUGGCUGAGAGGGCCCCCUGGGCCAGGGGAAUGCUGAAAAGAAAGGCCAGGAGGCAGCUCUUAGGGGUCCUAGGUGACCCUUGAGGAGAGCUGUCCUGCUAGUUCUGGAGGUCUGAGGCCUCAAAGGCCACCUGCUUGAGGGAUGAGAGUCCUUGUCCCUACAGAUGACAUCACAUGUAUGCUGGUCGUGGCAGGUUGGGACCAGGGAGCCAGUGCUGUUGGAGAAGAAAGGGAGCCACAGAGGAUGGCGUCUUGGAGCAAGCCCUAGGAAGUACAGCCCCCACUCGGGGCCAGGAGGCAGGAGAGCGGGAGAUUCACGCGGCCAAGGUGUCGGCAUGGAACUCCAGUUCUGCCUCGGACACGCUGGGUGACGUGAAGCCUCAAUUUUCCCAUCUGUAAAGUGGGGGUCCACUUAAGGGCAUAAUGAGGGCUCCAGAUGAUGGGUGGAAAAGGCCUUGGCAAGAGCUCACGUGCCCUGCAGACACACGUGUUAGUGCACAGACCUCUGAAGGAAGGCCUCCCCCAGGGCAGCCUCUCUCCCACACCGUCACAGGCGCGGGGCUUUCAGCAGACAGUACUGCCCGCCUACUGCCUACGAGGCCUAGCCGGGCCUGAACUUCUCAGGGAUCCACCCGCCCCACCCCGCACUUGAGCACCCCUUCCUCACCUCCCAGCCUCUCACAUCCCCUCGGUCAGCGCUCUCGGUGCAGCCAGCAGCCAGCAGCCCGGCCCCGGGGCGGCAGACCGGGAUGCCAUGCACCUGGGAGAAAAGCAGAGGUGCCCUGGAGAGCCUGCGAGCCCAAGCGCCAGUCCUACUCAGCCACACGUCUCCAGCGGGAUUUGCCGCGUUUCUUCGCCCCAGGUGGCGCGCACGUGACCCACGCCGAGCCAAUCGGCGUCUUCUGCAGGGGAUUUGCAAUCAGGACCCAAAGACUUCAGCUGAGGCCACCUGGCUUCACAUCUCGAGGCCACGUCGAGCCGGGAGCUGUUGACAGCUGUGUUUUCCACUACCGACCGGAGGCGUGAGCAGAGCCAGGGGACAGCGGCAAGGUAAGGAAAUGGAAGCUCAGAGAAGUAGCCAUUUGUCCGAGGCCUGCUUUCAUCCACCUCUUCCGAAGGCUCAGCGCCAUGGCUCCUGCUGCGUUUCAUUGGCCCCCUUGUCCACAAGUCACGGGUAAAAGGCCCCAGGCUCCAGCCCUGACACUGUCACUGACUCACUGCCAUGUGACCCCGUUUAAGUCCGGCCCACCUCUGGGCCUCUCAAUAUGACCCAAGAACUAAGCUACUAGAGUCUUCUGGCUGAGCCAUGGAAGCUUGGGGGGGCCGGGGUGGUCCAGGCCUAGGCCGGGCAAGGCAAUAAUUAGCUGAGCGCUCUUCUGGAAUGUUAAGUACCCGGCCCUGGAAUGCAGCUCCCGCUGGCUACAAAUAUCAACCCCUCCCCAUGGGACAGGCCCUGCAGGGAAGAUAAAAAUCAGGGUGUGCAGACACUGGGGACCCUGUCCUAGGAGUCCCUCUGCCGGGAAGCGCAGUCCUCUGACCUCUCCCAGGAUCUUCCUCCGUCCACAGCUCCCUCCCACUUAGGGCUUUGCCCGGAGUGGUGGGGAGCCCAGUGGUCCUGCCUCCUGGAUUUAAUGCCCUUGUGUAAUCCCCUGGUCGGUGUGGGCUAGACUUAGUGACUGCCUCUCGCAACAGAGUACAGCAAAAGUGAUGGGUCGUCACUUCUGAUAUCAGGUUACCAGAAGACCGUGGCUUUCAUUCUGGACACCCUUCUGCUCUCUCUGAAUGAAGCCAGCUGCCAUGUUGUAAGCUGCCCAGGAGAGAGGCCCAAACGGCAAGGACCUGAGUGGGGCCUCUGGCCAGCUGCCAGAGAGGCCAGCGAGGUUAGUGAGGAACCCAGGUCUGCAGUCCAGCAACCCACGAGGCCCCAAAUCCUGCCAACAAGCAUGUGAGUGAGCUUGGCCACAGAUCCAUCCCUGGUCGGGCCCAGACGACUGUGGUGCUGGCCGCCAGCUUGAUUGUGGCCUAUGAGAGACCAUGUGGCAAAGGGCCAGCUGGGCCAUGCCGACUCCUGCCCCAUGGACACUGUUAAGACAAUAAAUGUGUGUGGUUUUAA